CCUAUGGGGGGCAGCAGGCGCGAAAACUUCACAAUGGGCGCAAGCCCGAUGAGGGAACUCCUAGUGCUAGCACUUUUUGUGUUAGCUUUUCUUCAGCGUAGAUAACUGAAGGAAUAAGGGCUGGGUAAGACGGGUGCCAGCCGCCGCGGUAAUACCUGCAGCCCAAGUGGUGGUCGAUUUUAUUGAGUCUAAAACGUUCGUAGCCGGUCUGGUAAAUCCUUGGGUAAAUCGGAAAGCUUAACUUUCCGAAUUCCGAGGAGACUGCCAGACUUGGGACCGGGAGAGGCUAGAGGUACUUCUGGGGUAGGGGUAAAAUCCUGUAAUCCUAGAAGGACCACCGGUGGCGAAGGCGUCUAGCUAGAACGGAUCCGACGGUGAGGGACGAAGCCCUGGGUCGCAAACGGGAUUAGAUACCCCGGUAGUCC
Molecule: ribosomal RNA, 425 nt
Filed under: uncultured Methanomethylophilus sp.
Lineage: Archaea; Methanobacteriati; Thermoplasmatota; Thermoplasmata; Methanomassiliicoccales; Methanomethylophilaceae
Description: bacterial SSU rRNA
Rfam family: Archaeal small subunit ribosomal RNA
Source: RNAcentral